RNAcentral lists this transfer RNA (84 nucleotides) under bacterium. RNAcentral describes it as "tRNA-Leu". It matches the Rfam family "tRNA". Rfam says of the family: Transfer RNA (tRNA) molecules are approximately 80 nucleotides in length. Their secondary structure includes four short double-helical elements and three loops (D, anti-codon, and T loops). The record is from RNAcentral.
GCCGAGGUGGCGAAACUGGCAGACGCAGGGGACUUAAAAUCCCCGGCCCGCAAGGGCGUGAGAGUUCGACCCUCUCCCUCGGCA